RNAcentral lists this transfer RNA (76 nucleotides) under Marinivivus vitaminiproducens. RNAcentral describes it as "Geminicoccaceae bacterium SCSIO 64248 tRNA-Lys". It matches the Rfam family "tRNA". Rfam says of the family: Transfer RNA (tRNA) molecules are approximately 80 nucleotides in length. Lineage: Bacteria; Pseudomonadati; Pseudomonadota; Alphaproteobacteria; Geminicoccales; Geminicoccaceae. The record is from RNAcentral.
GGGCGCGUAGCUCAAUCGGUAGAGCAGCGGACUUUUAAUCCGCGGGUUCAGGGUUCGAGUCCCUGCGCGCCUACCA